Molecule: ribosomal RNA, 517 nt
Filed under: uncultured bacterium
Lineage: Bacteria
Description: bacterial SSU rRNA
Rfam family: Bacterial small subunit ribosomal RNA
Source: RNAcentral
CAGCUAUGCCGCGNUGUGUGAAGAAGGCCUUCGGGUUGUAAAGCACUUUUAUCAGGAACGAAACACUGUCGGCCAAUACCCGGUGGGACUGACGGUACCUGAGGAAUAAGCACCGGCUAACUUCGUGCCAGCAGCCGCGGUAAUACGAAGGGUGCAAGCGUUAAUCGGAAUUACUGGGCGUAAAGCGUGCGUAGGCGGUUUGUUAAGUCUGUUGUGAAAUCCCCGGGCUCAACCUGGGAAUGGCAAUGGAUACUGGCAGGCUAGAGUGUGUCAGAGGAUGGUGGAAUUCCCGGUGUAGCGGUGAAAUGCGUAGAGAUCGGGAGGAACAUCAGUGGCGAAGGCGGCCAUCUGGGACAACACUGACGCUNAGGCACGAAAGCGUGGGGAGCAAACAGGAUUAGAUACCCUGGUAGUCCACGCCCUAAACGAUGCGAACUGGAUGUUGGUCUCAACUCGGAGAUCAGUGUCGAAGCUAACGCGUUAAGUUCGCCGCCUGGGGAGUACGGUCGCAAGACUG